GUUUACGGCCAUACCAGCCUGGGUACGCCCGAUCUCGUCUGAUCUCGGAAGCUAAGCAGGGUUGGGCCUGGUUAGUACUUGGAUGGGAGACCACCUAGGAAUACCAGGUGCUGUAAGCU
Salmo trutta (river trout) is the source of this 119-nucleotide ribosomal RNA. NCBI's taxonomy places the organism in Eukaryota, Metazoa, Chordata, Actinopteri, Salmoniformes, Salmonidae. The record is from Ensembl.